Molecule: unclassified non-coding RNA, 1132 nt
Filed under: Hevea brasiliensis (rubber tree)
Lineage: Eukaryota; Viridiplantae; Streptophyta; Magnoliopsida; Malpighiales; Euphorbiaceae
Source: RNAcentral
UCUACAUUCAACUACAAUGGGGAGCCAAGCGGCUGUUUCCUUCCUCACCAACAUAGCCCGUGCCGCUUUCACUCUCGGACUCGGCGGCGCACUUGUCAAUUCCUCCCUGUACACCGUCGACGGCGGUCAACGCGCCGUUCUCUUCGACCGUUUCAAUGGUGUCCUUGACAAAACUGUUGGUGAAGGCACUCAUUUCUUAAUCCCAUGGCUUCAGAAGCCUUUCAUCUUCGAUAUCCGUACCAGGCCUCAUGUUUUCUCUUCAGUAUCCGGUACAAAGGAUCUACAGAUGGUUAAUCUCACGCUACGUAUUCUAUCUAGACCAGAAAUAUCACGCCUACCGUACAUUUUCCAAAACCUAGGUACUGAAUAUGACGAGAAAGUACUUCCUUCUAUUGGUAAUGAGGUGCUUAAAGCUGUUGUGGCUCAAUUUAACGCUGAUCAGCUACUUACGGAUCGUCCACAGGUCUCUGCACUAGUACGGGAGAGUUUGAUUAAACGUGCUAAGGAUUUCAAUAUUGUGCUUGAUGAUGUGGCGAUCACACACUUAUCUUAUGGAGCUGAGUUUUCGAAAGCUGUGGAGCAGAAACAGGUAGCUCAGCAGGAGGCUGAGAGAUCGAAAUUUGUGGUGAUGAAAGCUGAGCAAGAGAGGAGGGCUGCGAUUAUUCGGGCUGAAGGAGAGAGCGAAUCUGCAAAGCUGAUUUCCGAUGCUACUGCGGCUGCUGGAAUGGGUUUGAUUGAGCUGAGGAGGAUUGAAGCUUCUAGAGAAGUUGCUGGAACUUUGGCUAAGACUCCUAAUGUUGCUUACUUGCCUAAGCAAGGGAAUAUGCUUCUUGGACUCGGCCGUUGAGUAGGUGGUGGUUUCUUUAAUGGUGUGGUGUAUUUUACUGCUAUUCUUCUUCAGUGGCCUCUUCUUACCCGUCCUUUUUCUGGUUGAAAGAUGACACCUUGAUUUAUCCUGGACCAUGUAUGUUAUAGCGCGAAUGAAGAAAACAAGGAUCACUGAGGAUGUUUUCUGUUUUGGUACCCUUUAUGAUAAACAUUAUAUUGUUAUUUCUUUAGACAAUCCCUUGUUUUCCUUAGCUUUACCCUAUUUACUAACCUAGUUUAAAUAAUUGUCAUGCAAACAUUUUGA